AGAGUUUGAUCCUGGCUCAGGAUGAACGCUGGCGGCGUGCCUAAUACAUGCAAGUCGAACGAGGUGCUUUUGUAGCAAUACGAAAGUAUCCUAGUGGCGAACGGGUGAGUAACGCGUUGGUGACCUGCCCCAAAGUGUGGGAUAACAGUCCGAAAGGAUUGCUAAUACCUCAUGUGGUCAUCGGGUUUAGAAACCGAUGACUAAAGUGGCGCUUCGGCGCCACGCUUUGGGAGGGGCCUGCGUCCCAUCAGCUAGUUGGUGAGGUAAUGGCUCACCAAGGCGACGACGGGUAGGGGACCUGAGAGGGUGGCCCCCCACAAUGGAACUGAAACACGGUCCAUACACCUACGGGUGGCAGCAGUAGGGAAUAUUGCUCAAUGGGCGAAAGCCUGAAGCAGCAACGCCGCGUGCGCGAUGAAGGUCUUCGGAUCGUAAAGCGCUUUUAUGAGGGAUGAGAAAGGACAGUACCUCAGGAAUAAGUCUCGGCUAACUACGUGCCAGCAGCCGCGGUAAAACGUAGGAGGCAAGCGUUAUCCGGAUUCACUGGGCGUAAAGCGCGUGCAGGCGGUUCGGUAAGUUGGGCGUGAAAUCUCCUGGCUUAACUGGGAGAGGUCGUCCAAUACUACCGGACUUGAGAGUGAUAGAGGAAGAUGGAAUUCCCGGUGUAGUGGUGAAAUGCGUAGAUAUCGGGAGGAACACCAGUGGCGAAGGCGGCUUGCUGGGCCAACCCUGACGCUGAGACGCGAAAGCUAGGGGAGAGAACGGGAUUAGAAACCCCGGUAUUCCUAGCCGUAAACGAUGUCAACUAGGUGUAGGUGGUUAUUGACCCCAUCUGUGCUGUAGCAAACGCGUUAAGUUGACCGCCUGGGGACUACGGCCGCAAGGCUAAAACUCAAAGGAAUUGACGGGGACCCGCACAAGCAGCGGAGCGUGUGGUUUAAUUCGAGGCUACGCGAAGAACCUUACCAGGGCUUGACAUAUAACUGGUAGUGAAGCGAAAGCGGAACGACCCUUCGGGGAGGUUAUACAGGUGCUGCAUGGCUGUCGUCAGCUCGUGCCGUGAGGUGUUAGGUUAAGUCCUGUAACGAGCGCAACCCUCGUCGUUAGUUACAAGUGUCUAACGAGACUGCCGGUGAUAAGCCGGAGGAAGGUGGGGAUGACGUCAAGUCAGCAUGGCCUUUAUGUCCUGGGCUACACACACGCUACAAUGGCCGGUACAAUGGGCAGCCAAGCCGCGAGGCGGAGCCAAUCCCGAAAAGCCGGUCUCAGUUCGGAUUGUAGGCUGCAACUCGCCUGCAUGAAGUCGGAGUUGCUAGUAACCGCGCGUCAGCAACAGUGCGGUGAAUACGUUCCCGGGUCUUGUACACACCGCCCGUCACGUCAUGGGAGUUGGCAACGCCUGAAGUCGGUGGGCUAACGGCGCGAAGCGCUGAGGCAGCCGCCUAAGGCGGGGUCGGUAACUGGGACGAAGUCGUAACAAGGUAACC
This 1487-nucleotide ribosomal RNA is filed under the name uncultured bacterium. Its description in RNAcentral is "bacterial SSU rRNA". It matches the Rfam family "Bacterial small subunit ribosomal RNA". The record is from RNAcentral.